GCCUGGUUAGCUCAGUCGGGAGAGCACUCGCCCUGUUAGCGAGGAGUCCCGGAAUCGAGUCCCGGACUGGCCG
This 73-nucleotide transfer RNA is filed under the name Dreissena polymorpha. Its description in RNAcentral is "tRNA-Thr". It matches the Rfam family "tRNA". Rfam says of the family: Transfer RNA (tRNA) molecules are approximately 80 nucleotides in length. Their secondary structure includes four short double-helical elements and three loops (D, anti-codon, and T loops). Further hydrogen bonds mediate the characteristic L-shaped molecular structure. tRNAs have two regions of fundamental functional importance: the anti-codon, which is responsible for specific mRNA codon recognition, and the 3' end, to which the tRNAs corresponding amino acid is attached (by aminoacyl-tRNA synthetases). tRNAs cope with the degeneracy of the genetic code in two manners: having more than one tRNA (with a specific anti-codon) for a particular amino acid; and 'wobble' base-pairing, i.e. permitting non-standard base-pairing at the 3rd anti-codon position. Lineage: Eukaryota; Metazoa; Mollusca; Bivalvia; Myida; Dreissenidae. The record is from RNAcentral.